AGUUCCUCUUCGGUGAAUAACCUUACAGGUUUUGUGGACGCUUUGUACUUUAACUUGUCAGCUAAAGUCACGUUUAAUAGCGCCACAAUCAGCACGAAGGCACCACCGGUUGUUGCUGUUGCCAUGGCAAUCACCUUGACCUCCUGCCAGUAGGGCCCCCCUCUGGUGUACAGGAAAUAGUGAUAAAAGUCGUCUUUUUGGUGGGAGAAGUAGGUCUCCGUGGCAAUGUUGAUCAUCCACGGCCGGCCGUCGCCUCGCACGCGCAGGUGCAGAGUGUUGAAGCUGGACCAGUCGUAGUGCUUCUUUCGGUCAAACGAUGCCUUGGGACAGAUGUAAUUAUCAUGUUCAGAAUACUAAUAAACGGCGGAUACAUU
This is a long non-coding RNA of Phyllopteryx taeniolatus (common seadragon), 374 nucleotides long. RefSeq lists it as uncharacterized. NCBI's taxonomy places the organism in Eukaryota, Metazoa, Chordata, Actinopteri, Syngnathiformes, Syngnathidae. The record is from RefSeq and is a predicted model, not a curated record. The transcript is spliced from 2 exons.